UGACAGUACUCCUACGGGGAGGCAGCAGUGAGGAAUAUUGGACAAUGGAGGCAACUCUGAUCCAGCCAUGCCGCGUGCAGGAAGACUGCCUAUGGGUUGUAAACUGCUUUUAUACAGGAAGAAACCACUCUACGUGUAGAGUUCUGACGGUACUGUAAGAAUAAGGAUCGGCUAACUCCGUGCCAGCAGCCGCGGUAAUACGGAGGAUCCAAGCGUUAUCCGGAAUCAUUGGGUUUAAAGGGUCCGUAGGUGGACAAUUAAGUCAGAGGUGAAAGUCUGCAGCUCAACUGUAGAAUUGCCUUUGAUACUGGUUGUCUUGAAUUAUUGUGAAGUAGUUAGAAUAUGUAGUGUAGCGGUGAAAUGCAUAGAUAUUACAUAGAAUACCAAUUGCGAAGGCAGAUUACUAACAAUAUAUUGACACUGAUGGACGAAAGCGUGGGGAGCGAACAGGAUUAGAUACCCUGGUAG
This 468-nucleotide ribosomal RNA is filed under the name uncultured bacterium. RNAcentral describes it as "bacterial SSU rRNA". It matches the Rfam family "Bacterial small subunit ribosomal RNA", at positions 328 to 793 of the family's 1533-position model. The record is from RNAcentral.